Molecule: non-coding RNA, 357 nt
Organism: Streptomyces sp. RSD-27
Lineage: Bacteria; Bacillati; Actinomycetota; Actinomycetes; Kitasatosporales; Streptomycetaceae
Source: Rfam
UUCAUGGAGAGUUUGAUCCUGGCUCAGGACGAACGCUGGCGGCGUGCUUAACACAUGCAAGUCGAACGAUGAAGCCCUUCGGGGUGGAUUAGUGGCGAACGGGUGAGUAACACGUGGGCAAUCUGCCCUUCACUCUGGGACAAGCCCUGGAAACGGGGUCUAAUACCGGAUACGACUGCGGGAGGCAUCUCCUGUGGUGGAAAGCUCCGGCGGUGAAGGAUGAGCCCGCGGCCUAUCAGCUUGUUGGUGGGGUAAUGGCCCACCAAGGCGACGACGGGUAGCCGGCCUGAGAGGGCGACCGGCCACACUGGGACUGAGACACGGCCCAGACUCCUACGGGAGGCAGCAGUGGGGAAU